Molecule: non-coding RNA, 1843 nt
Organism: Pelobates cultripes (western spadefoot toad)
Lineage: Eukaryota; Metazoa; Chordata; Amphibia; Anura; Pelobatidae
Source: the annotation of a GenBank genome assembly
CUUUGUUGAGAACUUAGAAUAACAUCGAGGUAAGGGGUAAAACAGGAACUAUGCUAGUUACUGUACAGGUUUUUGAAUCCAUUUGUUCCACUCCAUCCUGUUACUGAUGUGUUUUUGUGUUUUUCCUUUUUGUUGUAUCCUUAAAGGAACGCUAUAGUCACCUAAAUUACCUUAGCUAAAUAAAGCAGUUUUAGUGUAUAGAUCAUUCCCCUGCAAUUUCACUGCUCAAUUCACUGUCAUUUAGGAGUUAAAUCACUUUGUUUCUGUUUAUGCAGCCCUAGCCACACCUCCCCUGGCUAUGAUUGACAGAGCCUGCAUGAAAAAAAAACUGGUUUCACUUUCAAACAGAUGUAAUUUACCUUAAAUAAUUGUAUCUCAAUCUCUAAAUUGAACUUUAAUCACAUACAGGAGGCUCUUGCAGGGUCUAGCAAGCUAUUAACAUAGCAGGGGAUAAGAAAAUCUUAAUUAAACAGAACUUGCAAUAAAGAAAGCCUAAAUAGGGCUCUGUUUACAGGAAGUGUUUAUGGAAGGCUGUGCAAGUCACAUGCAGGGAGGUGUGACUAGGGUUCAUAAACAAAGGGAUUUAACUCCUAAAUGGCAGAGGAUUGAGCAGUGAGGCUGCAGGGGCAUGUUCUAUACACCAAAACUGCUUCAUUAAGCUAAAGUUGUUCAGGUGACUAUAAUGUCCCUUUAAAGACUUUAUUAGUUGUAAGAAGUGUUGUGCUCCCCUGCUGGGAAGUGGGCACAUCUUACAGAGGUGGAAUUUGGAUCCAAUGUCCGUUGUGCAGUUUGUAUUUAUGUCCAGUACUAAAGGAGCUGACUUAAUAUUGGCCAUUGAUAGUCCACAGGUGGUAUUUGUUCUGAAUGGGAGGAGGACAAAACAAACACUAGAAGGACAUUUUGUAGUUUUAUUUACAUAGGAAAAAGAAACAGAUUUGCCAAGCUCUCUUUGUUCUCAUAUCAUCCAGUGAGGUGGGUGAAUAUAUUCUUGAAUCAAAAUCAUGAGAAAUCUUCAAAUAUCAUCGAGAAGAGAAUCUGGAUCUAUUCUUUCAUUUCUUCUAAAGUUACUAUAGAACCAGACAAGCUUCUAGGAAGGGGCUUGGUGGAGGGGCAUCAAAAGGCCUUAAAGUUUGAUAUUAGCCGUUACAGUCUAACUAAUAUAGUGUUUGGCAAUUGACAUAUCUGAUUUAAGUGUCAAAAUAAUGUGUUUUCCUUUUUUCUUACAGCCUUUGGAAACUGUUGAACAGAGAUAGGAUGCAAUGAAUGGACAACUGGUGGAACUUUGCCCUUUUCAACGUUACAGGGAGUAGCUGACUCAUAUCAUCAGUGGAGGUUACCCUGGGUAUAUUUAUGUGUGUUUUAUAAAAAGUAAGCCAUCUAAAACAUGACACAGUAUAUCAGUUAGGUUGAAUGUUGUUUUAGUUCAUUAUGUGUCAAGUAAUGAAAAAUGCCCAAAAUGAACAUUAACAACCAUAUAAAAAAUUUAAACCACCAUAAAUAUUUGGUAACAUAUAAGGCAAAGUUAUCAACAGCAAUUUAGAUUUAUAGUGCUCUAAAUGAAGUUAUCAAGUUGAAAUCAACGCAAUGCCCCUUAUUUAGCACUUUGUUCUAUAAUUCUGUUUCUCAUCUGUUUUUAAAUAAUAACGGCAUAGAUAUGAAAAGGUAUAGACCUAAGUACUAAGAUAUUACUGAUCCUGGCGAUAAAGAGUCACUGGUUGAUGAGCCGACAGUGAGUGUAGGAACCAUGGGAUAUAGGAUAUCUCUAGAAGCCAGGAGAGGGUUACAUCGACAAAACCAAAAAUGAUUUAACUAAUGAUUUGAUUUAAUUGAGCAGUGAAAUUAC